CCUACGGGAGGCAGCAGUGAGGAAUAUUGGUCAAUGGACGCAAGUCUGAACCAGCCAUGCCGCGUGCAGGAUGACGGCUCUAUGAGUUGUAAACUGCUUUUGUACGAGGGUAAACCCCGAUACGUGUAUCGGGUUGAAAGUAUCGUACGAAUAAGGAUCGGCUAACUCCGUGCCAGCAGCCGCGGUAAUACGGAGGAUCCGAGCGUUAUCCGGAUUUAUUGGGUUUAAAGGGUGCGUAGGCGGUUUGAUAAGUUAGAGGUGAAAUGUCGGGGCUCAACCCCGAAACUGCCUCUAAUACUGUUAGACUAGAGAAUAGUUGCGGUAGGCGGAAUGUAAGGUGUAGCGGUGAAAUGCUUAGAGAUCAGACAGAACACCGAUUGCGAAGGCAGCUUACCAAACUAUAUCUGACGUUGAGGCACGAAAGCGUGGGUAGCAAACAGGAUUAGAUACCCCAGUAGUC
RNAcentral lists this ribosomal RNA (460 nucleotides) under uncultured bacterium. Its description in RNAcentral is "partial 16S ribosomal RNA". It matches the Rfam family "Bacterial small subunit ribosomal RNA", at positions 338 to 795 of the family's 1533-position model. The record is from RNAcentral.